Molecule: ribosomal RNA, 253 nt
Filed under: uncultured bacterium
Lineage: Bacteria
Description: partial 16S ribosomal RNA
Rfam family: Bacterial small subunit ribosomal RNA
Source: RNAcentral
UACGGAGGGUGCAAGCGUUAUCCGGAUUCACUGGGUUUAAAGGGUGCGUAGGAGGGCAGGUAAGUCCGUGGUGAAAUCUCCGAGCUUAACUCGGAAACUGCCGUGGAUACUACCGGUCUUGAAUAUCGUGGAGGUGAGCGGAAUAUGUCAUGUAGCGGUGAAAUGCUUAGAGAUGACAUAGAACACCCACUGCGAAGGCAGCUCACUACCCGAAUAUUGACUCUGAGGCACGAAAGCGUGGGGAUCAAACAGG